Long non-coding RNA from Ostrinia nubilalis (European corn borer), 3265 nucleotides. RefSeq lists it as uncharacterized. The record is from RefSeq and is a predicted model, not a curated record. Lineage: Eukaryota; Metazoa; Arthropoda; Insecta; Lepidoptera; Crambidae. The transcript is spliced from 2 exons.
AAAAUAAAUAGAGAUCAUCGCCAACAACCUAUGGGUAGAGCAUUCAAAUGUAAAAGCUGCGGAUAUCAACACCCUCCACGUCGUUGUCCAGCAUAUGGCAAACAAUGUAAUUAUUGCAAGAAGAUGAACCAUUUUUCUACUGUCUGUAGGAAUCGAAUGAAGGAUCACAACAUAAAGGGAAUACAGCAGAAUCCUCAGCAAGAAACAAAUCAAGAAUAUACAUUGGGUACAGUAUACACUGACUGGACAUUGCAGGAAUAGGAGAACUGAAGGAUUAUGUUUAUGAUUUCAAGUUGAUCCCGAACUACACAGGGAAAGUAAUUCCUUGUCGACCGGUGCCCAUGAAGCUAUUGGAUGCAUAUAAAAAAGAGUUGCAAACUAUGGAGGAAAAUAAAAUAAUAAGAAGAAUAGAAGAACCCACAGAUUUUGUAAAUGCAGUGGUAAUAGUAAGAAAAAAUGAUAAUUCGCUUCGCAUAUGUCUUGACCCACAAUAUCUCAAUUCUUGUCUAUUAAGGGAACAUUUUAAAUUACCAACAUUUGAAGAAAUUGCUGCAAAAAUGGCAAACGCUAAGGUAUUCAGUAAAUUAGACUGUAGUAAAGCGUUCUAUCAAUUGAAAUUAAGUGAAACCAGUUCAAAACUAACCACCUUUCAAACACCAUUUGGUAGGUAUUGUUUUUUAAGAAUGCCAUACGGAGUAAAGGUAGCAUCAGAGGUUUACCAUAAACAGUUUUCUCGCCUGUUUGAAGGCAUUCCAAAUGUAGAAAUUUUUGUAGACGACCUAAUUUUAUGGGCUGAUAGUGAAGCUGAACAUGAGAAAAUUUUACACAGAAUAUUACAAAAAGCUUCAGAGCAUAAUAUUACAUUUAAUGCAGACAAAUGUAUAUUUAAAACUAACAAAUUAAAAUUUUUGGGACAUGUUUUCACUGAUAAAGGAAUUUAUAUUGAUGAGGAUAAAAUAGACAGCAUAAUAAAAAUGGAGAAACCAACAGAUGUAACAGGCAUUCAAAAGCUAUUGGGUAUCAUUACAUAUGUUUCUAAAUUUAUUCCCAAUGUAUCUGAACUAACAGCUCCUCUAAGAUCAUUAUUAAAAAAGGACAAGGAUUGGGAAUGGGGUCUAGAGCAAGAAAAAUCUUUCAAGGAAAUCAAAGAGCUUUUAACUUCCUCCCCAGUAUUGCAAUAUUACAAUCCAAACUUACCAUGUUUAUUAAGUGUAGAUGCAAGUAGUAAUGGUGUGGGUGCAGUUUUAUUACAAAAUGGAUUUCCAGUAGCCUAUGCAUCCAAAGCAUUCACAGACACACAAAAAUCAUGGGCACAGAUCGAAAAGGAAAUGUAUGCAAUUGUAUUUGCUUGUGAAAAAUUUCAUUUUUACAUAAUGGGUCGAAACUUUGAGGUGGAAUCUGAUCAUAAACCUUUAAUUCCCAUAAUGAAAAAACCUUUAGCAGAAAUACCUGUUAGAUUACAAAAGAUGCGGUUAAGAUUACAGCACUAUGACAUAACAUUAAAAUACAAACCAGGAAAGUUAUUACAACUUGCUGAUUACUUGUCACGAAAUUAUUUAAAAGCUAAGGUUGAGGAGGAUGAUGAUUUUGAUUGUAGUAUAUUGUUAGUAGAUUUAAAAGAAAAAAUGAGUGUGAAACGAUAUGAAAAGUUUAAAAGGGAAACAGAUUGUGAUGAAGACCUAAAAUUAGUAAAAAAGUUAUUAUCUGAAGGAUGGCCGACUAAUGGUAAAAAUUUACCGGAUUCCUUAAAACCCUAUCAUACAUUUCACACUGAUUUACAUUUAAUGGAUGGACUAAUUUUCAAAAAACAUUGUAUCAUGGUCCCAAAAUCUUUGCAGAAAGACAUCUUAUCCAAAUUGCAUUAUAAUCACUUGGGUAGAGAGAAAACUAAAAUAAGAGCUAGAGAGUCGGUAUAUUGGAUAGGAAUUUCAAAAGACAUUGAUAAUUACAUUCAAAACUGUGAUACUUGUACAAAGCAUAGUGUAGAAAAUUACAAAGAACCUCUAUUACCACAUAAAAUUCCAAAGGAGGCUUGGCAAAAAAUAGGUGUGGAUAUUUUUCAUUUGUAUUCAAAAGAUUAUUUGUUAAUAGUGGAUUAUUUUUCAAAAUAUGUAGAAGUUAUAGCUUUACAGUCACUAUCUACAGAGGAGGUAAUAAAAGCAAUAAAACAGUGUUUUGCACGCUUUGGAAUUCCAAUUGAAUUAAAUAGUGAUGGAGGACCUCAAUUUACAUCUAUGAAGUUUAAAGAAUUUUCACAAAAAUGGGGCUUUCAGCAUACAGUUUCUUCGCCUUAUUAUCCCAGAAGUAACGGUAUGGUAGAAAGGCACAUACAAACUAUCAAAAAGAUGCUAAAAAAAUGCGUAGAAGAUAAAAAAGAUCCAUAUCUAGCAAUAUUAGAACUUAGAAACACCCCCAUCUCAAACAACAUUGAAUCACCUAAUCAAAUAUUGUUAGGUCGUAAAAUUAGAGGUCUGAUACCAAAUCUGGAAAGCAUCAGUAGUCAAAGUCAGCAGAAGGUCAGAAGCGAAUUAUUAAAAAGGCAAACUAAUCAAAAAUAUUAUUAUGACAGAAAUGUUAGGCCGUUGAAGGAGUUUUCAACGGGAGAAAAUGUAUUAAUAAAAAAUCACAAAAAUGGUACUUAUGACAGACAUGCAAAGAUAUUGGGUCCAUCAAAUAAACCUAGAUCAUAUAAUGUUAUAACUGAAUCGGGAAAUAUUGUUAAUAGAAAUAGAUAUCAUUUAAAAAAGAGCUCAAAAAAUUAUAAGUUUGUUGCAAGUGGUGUUAAAGAAAUAGAAUAUCCAAAGUUUAAUAGUUUCAAUGAGGCUAUAGAAGUUGAAAAUCCAGGAUUUAAUGAUUGUUAUGAGAAUGUAAGUCACCAGGACGCACUUAAUAAUAAACGUCUAUCACAGAAUGAAACCAGCAUAGAACCUAGCUGCAUUGUAGAAAAUAGAAUGGAAGAUAAUUUAAAUAAUCAUACAUCACAAAAUAAUUGUAAAAGGUCAAUUAAAGGUAGAGCCAUUAGGCUUCCUAAAUACUUAGAAGAUUAUGUGCAGGGUUAAUUAAUUAUAGUUAUGCUAAUUGUUUGUUUAUAGUCAUCUAGAGUUUUGUAUCAGAAUCAACUGAUAACAAAUGUAUGUAUCUUUUAAUUAAUUUGUUAAAAGGAAAGAUGUAACAUUAUUGUAAUGUGACAACACUACUGAGAAUAGACUAUAGAUUGGGUAUGUAUUGUCUGUGGAUAAUGGAGAGUAAAACAGGAUGUACAUGA